UGAGUAACACGUGGAUAACCUGCCUCAAGGCUGGGGAUAACAUUUGGAAACAGAUGCUAAUACCGAAUAAAACUUAGUAUCGCAUGAUAUCAAGUUAAAAGGCGCUACGGCGUCACCUAGAGAUGGAUCCGCGGUGCAUUAGUUAGUUGGUGGGGUAAAGGCUUACCAAGACAAUGAUGCAUAGCCGAGUUGAGAGACUGAUCGGCCACAUUGGGACUGAGACACGGCCCAAACUCCUACGGGAGGCUGCAGUAGGGAAUCUUCCACAAUGGGCGCAAGCCUGAUGGAGCAACGCCGCGUGUGUGAUGAAGGCUUUAGGGUCGUAAAGCACUGUUGUAUGGGAAGAAAUGCUAAAAUAGGGAAUGAUUUUAGUUUGACGGUACCAUACCAGAAAGGGACGGCUAAAUACGUGCCAGCAGCCGCGGUAAUACGUAUGUCCCGAGCGUUAUCCGGAUUUAUUGGGCGUAAAGCGAGCGCAGACGGUUGAUUAAGUCUGAUGUGAAAGCCCGGAGCUCAACUCCGGAAUGGCAUUGGAAACUGGUUAACUUGAGUGUUGUAGAGGUAAGUGGAACUCCAUGUGUAGCGGUGGAAUGCGUAGAUAUAUGGAAGAACACCAGUGGCGAAGGCGGCUUACUGGACAACAACUGACGUUGAGGCUCGAAAGUGUGGGUAGCAAACAGGAUUAGAUACCCUGGUAGUCCACACCGUAAACGAUGAAUACUAGGUGUUAGGAGGUUUCCGCCUCUUAGUGCCGAAGCUAACGCAUUAAGUAUUCCGCCUGGGGAGUACGACCGCAAGGUUGAAACUCAAAGGAAUUGACGGGGACCCGCACAAGCGGUGGAGCAUGUGGUUUAAUUCGAAGCAACGCGAAGAACCUUACCAGGUCUUGACAUCCUUUGAAGCUUUUAGAGAUAGAAGUGUUCUCUUCGGAGACAAAGUGACAGGUGGUGCAUGGUCGUCGUCAGCUCGUGUCGUGAGAUGUUGGGUUAAGUCCCGCAACGAGCGCAACCCUUAUUGUUAGUUGCCAGCAUUCAGUUGGGCACUCUAGCGAGACUGCCGGUGACAAACCGGAGGAAGGCGGGGACGACGUCAGAUCAUCAUGCCCCUUAUGACCUGGGCUACACACGUGCUACAAUGGCGUAUACAACGAGUUGCCAACCUGCGAAGGUGAGCUAAUCUCUUAAAGUACGUCUCAGUUCGGACUGCAGUCUGCAACUCGACUGCACGAAGUCGGAAUCGCUAGUAAUCGCGGAUCAGCACGCCGCGGUGAAUACGUUCCCGGGUCUUGUACACACCGCCCGUCACACCAUGGGAGUUUGUAAUGCCCAAAGC
RNAcentral lists this ribosomal RNA (1332 nucleotides) under Leuconostoc citreum. RNAcentral describes it as "bacterial SSU rRNA". It matches the Rfam family "Bacterial small subunit ribosomal RNA", at positions 107 to 1427 of the family's 1533-position model. Lineage: Bacteria; Bacillati; Bacillota; Bacilli; Lactobacillales; Lactobacillaceae. The record is from RNAcentral.